This is a long non-coding RNA of Diabrotica virgifera virgifera (western corn rootworm), 1613 nucleotides long. RefSeq lists it as uncharacterized. Lineage: Eukaryota; Metazoa; Arthropoda; Insecta; Coleoptera; Chrysomelidae. The record is from RefSeq and is a predicted model, not a curated record. The transcript has 3 exons.
UUUAUUCCAAACAUAACCUUAUAAACAAACAGUUGUUUAUUUAGAGUUAUUUAUUAUUGUUUUCUGAUAUUUUGCAAUUGUUAAGUUGGUUUACUUCGAAUUUAAUAUGCAUUACUGUGGUAUUUUUCCAGUUUUCUAAGAAGGUUGGUGAUUUUGAAUUGGGGUUAUGAUGAAUUUAACCCAAAGGCAAUGUGUGUUUAUUUAUGUGGCAAAAUUCCAGGCACCAUAAAAAUUUGAGUUUCUUCCUGUUGCCCAUGGAUGAAAAUCGGUUUGCAGAAUGAAAAGAAAUUGUUCAAUGUGAUAAACUUUCUAUGAACAGUCCUCAAUAUUGUUACAUUAACUUUUAAAUAUGCACUUUACAUCUUGAGGAGCAGGCCUUUGCAGAAAUACUGAAAAGCGGGUUGCAAAACAACGCAAAAUAAAAUAAACGAAAUAUGUCUUGAGAUUAAAGAUUCAAGUUGAAGGUGUGUUCUUUCUUAAACUGGAAUGAUAAUUUUGUAAUUCUGUAGGCACAUCUAUUGAGAAGUUACAACCAGUGGCAAAGUGCCUUAAGGGAAUCUAUGACAUAUAAUUGAAGGGACAUCUCCUCUGAAGGAAUUACAAUUAUUUGCCAGUAUGUCAAAUGAAUUUUCAACAUCAGUCAUACUUUCAUGAAUUUAGUGAUGAAAAUAAAACUAGGUACAUGAUUUAUUAUUUACUUCCAAGGGAUUCUAAGAUACUAUGUGUAAAAAGUCCAAUAUGCAGUGAUGAGCAUGCUAAUAACUGGCAAAAUAUGGGAUAUAACGCCAAAGAUGGGAAACAUGGGAUGCAUUCUGAAGUAAAAAGAGAUGAAACUGAGAGAAAUGAUCGAUAUAAACAUAUAAAUUAACAUUACAUUACAUAGUUUCCCACCUUUAGACAUAUCAGAUGAGAAUUAGAACUGUCACUGUGCCAGGAGAAUUUUAUAAAAUACUCCUGUCACAGAGAUCUAAAGGUGGGAAACUAUGUAAUGUUAUCGUCGGCUAAGAGUGUUAACCUGCUAACUCCAUUUUUCACUGUGAGUGAUAUUGGGGUAGUUUCUAGGUCUGUGUACCUUCAUACCAUGUCCCACAAGCCCGCUGGUUCCACUGUAGUUUAGAGAUAGCUAUUUCUAAACUACAUUGGUGUCGGCGGGUUUGUGGGGUGGUGUAUGAAAAUACACGGACCCAGAAACUAGCCCAAUAUCACUCAAAGUGAAAAAUGGAGUUAGCAGGUUAAAACUCUUAUCCAAGGUUAUGUUAAUUUAUUCGUUUAUAACGAUAAGUUCCACUUCUACCAGUUUCAUCUCUUUUUAUCUCACAAGUUAAUAUGUUUUCCAUCUUUUGCGUUAUUUUGCCGGUUAUUAGUGUGAGUGCUCAUUACUGUAUAUUUACGAUUCUGUGAUUUCUCAAUAUGAUGCUGAGUAGGUAUAGAUCUGAGUAGGUAUAUAGUAGGUAUCUACAAUCCUUUCAAAACAGAAAUUUAUAAGUUCAUUUUAUGUACCUAUUAAACUUUAUUUUAAGGAUGAAUUUGAAAUGCUUGUAGGGAAUAUAUCUGUAAAAAAUAAAAUUGGUAUUGUAAAAUUGAAAUUCUCAAAAUAUAAUUUAUAAUUCGAA